This 47-nucleotide transfer RNA is filed under the name Tetranychus pueraricola. Its description in RNAcentral is "tRNA-Gln". The record is from RNAcentral. Lineage: Eukaryota; Metazoa; Arthropoda; Arachnida; Trombidiformes; Tetranychidae.
GUUUAAAUUUUUAAAAGUUUUUGAAACUUUUCUUUAUUUUUCAAAAA